This 65-nucleotide transfer RNA is filed under the name Euwallacea similis. RNAcentral's name for it is "tRNA-Glu". It matches the Rfam family "tRNA". From Rfam's summary of the family: Transfer RNA (tRNA) molecules are approximately 80 nucleotides in length. Their secondary structure includes four short double-helical elements and three loops (D, anti-codon, and T loops). The record is from RNAcentral. Lineage: Eukaryota; Metazoa; Arthropoda; Insecta; Coleoptera; Curculionidae.
GUUUAUAUAGUUUAAAAAAACAUAACACUUUCAUUGUUAAGUUGAAGAAAAUUCUUCUUUAAAUA